This 615-nucleotide ribosomal RNA is filed under the name uncultured archaeon. RNAcentral describes it as "bacterial SSU rRNA". It matches the Rfam family "Archaeal small subunit ribosomal RNA", at positions 149 to 769 of the family's 1478-position model. The record is from RNAcentral.
AUACCGGAUAGAGCAUUGAUAGCUGGAAUGCACGAUGCUCGAAAGCUGAGGCGCCAAAGGGUAGGUCUGCGGCCGAUUAGGUUGUUGUUGAUGUAAUGGAUCAACAAGCCUCCGAUCGGUAUGGGUUGUGAGAGCAAUAUCCCAGAGAUGGGUUCUGAGAGAAGAACCCAGGUCCUACGGGACGCAUCAGGCGCGAAAACUUUACAAUGUGCGAAAGCACGAUAAGGGAACUCUGAGUGCCUCCAAAGGAGGCUGUUCAGGUGUCUAAAAAGCAUCUGAAGUAAGGGCUGGGCAAGACCGGUGCCAGCCGCCGCGGUAACACCGGCAGUCCAAGUGGUGGCCACUUUUACUGGGUCUAAAGCGUUCGUAGCCGGCUAUGUAAGUUCCUUGGGAAAUUUAAUCGCUUAACGAUUAAGCUUCCAGGGAAUACUGCUUGGCUUGGGACCGGGAGAGGUCAGAGGUACCUCAAGGGUAGGGGUGAAAUCCGUUAAUCCUUGGGGGACCGCCAGUAGCGAAGGCGUCUGACCAGACCGGAUCCGACGGUGAGGGACGAAGGCUAGGGUAGCGAACCGGAUUAGAUACCCGGGUAGUCCUAGCUGUAAACGAUGCGGGCUA